CGGCGGGCUAGGUGGGGUCUUGGGCAGGCCCUUAAGGAGCGAAAGCUCCGACCGAAGCCCUUACGGACCGAGGCCAUGGGGCGGUAAGACUUAGAUGCGAGCCCCAAGUCGUAACGAUGAACUUUUGUCCCAUGGGAUCCAUGGACGUGUGAACCGGGCCAGGCUCGGGAGAGAGCAACCCUAAGCACGUCCCAUGGAUGCUCAUGGGGGUGCAGAAGGGAGCCAAGACUUGGAUAAGCUCGCGUCUAAGUUCCUAUCAACCCAUGGUGCCCGCCG
RNAcentral lists this signal recognition particle RNA (276 nucleotides) under Candidatus Aenigmatarchaeota archaeon. Its description in RNAcentral is "signal recognition particle sRNA". It matches the Rfam family "Archaeal signal recognition particle RNA". The record is from RNAcentral. Lineage: Archaea; Nanobdellati; Candidatus Aenigmatarchaeota.